GUGGGGAAUAUUGGACAAUGGGCGAAAGCCUGAUCCAGCAAUGCCGCGUGAGUGAUGAAGGCCCUAGGGUUGUAAAGCUCUUUUACCAGGGAUGAUAAUGACAGUAGCUGGAGAAUAAGCUCCGGCUAACUCCGUGCCAGCAGCCGCGGUAAUACGGAGGGAGCUAGCGUUGUUCGGAAUUACUGGGCGUAAAGCGCGCGUAGGCGGUUUUUUAAGUCAGAGGUGAAAGCCCGGGGCUCAACCCCGGAAUUGCCUUUGAAACUGGAAAACUUGAAUCUUGGAGAGGUCAGUGGAAUUCCGAGUGUAGAGGUGAAAUUCGUAGAUAUUCGGAAGAACACCAGUGGCGAAGGCGACUGACUGGACAAGUAUUGACGCUGAGGUGCGAAAGCGUGGGGAGCAAACAGGAUUAGAUACCCUAGUAGUCC
This 425-nucleotide ribosomal RNA is filed under the name uncultured bacterium. Its description in RNAcentral is "partial 16S ribosomal RNA". It matches the Rfam family "Bacterial small subunit ribosomal RNA", at positions 354 to 796 of the family's 1533-position model. The record is from RNAcentral.